UGGGGAAUAUUGCACAAUGGGCGAAAGCCUGAUGCAGCGACGCCGCGUGAGGGAUGACGGCCUUCGGGUUGUAAACCUCUUUCAGCAGGGAAGAAGCGAAAGUGACGGUACCUGCAGAAGAAGCGCCGGCUAACUACGUGCCAGCAGCCGCGGUAAUACGUAGGGCGCAAGCGUUGUCCGGAAUUAUUGGGCGUAAAGAGCUCGUAGGCGGUUAGUCGCGUCUGCUGUGAAAACUCGAGGCUCAACCUCGGGCUUGCAGUGGGUACGGGCUGACUAGAGUGCGGUAGGGGUGACUGGAAUUCCUGGUGUAGCGGUGGAAUGCGCAGAUAUCAGGAGGAACACCGAUGGCGAAGGCAGGUCACUGGGCCGCAACUGACGCUGAGGAGCGAAAGCAUGGGGAGCGAACAGGAUUAGAUAGCCCUGGUAGUCCAUGCCGUAAACGUUGGGCACUAGGUGUGGGUCCAUUCCACGGAUUCCGUGCCGCAGCAAAGCGCAUU
RNAcentral lists this ribosomal RNA (497 nucleotides) under uncultured bacterium. Its description in RNAcentral is "partial 16S ribosomal RNA". It matches the Rfam family "Bacterial small subunit ribosomal RNA", at positions 355 to 861 of the family's 1533-position model. The record is from RNAcentral.